UUUCUCUAAUCACAGGAGUGAAAAUGAAACCGCACAAUCGCUUUGACUGCAACAGUAGCUUCAGUGCAUCAACAUCCUCGUGAAGCUUAACAGGUUAAGGUUCAUUCGUCAGGUCUAAACAAACGAAUUACAGCUCACAUCGAUCUAACGAUUCCUGUUUCUUCUCUGUUCAUGAUAAUUCUCUGAUAAAAGAGACUCAGAAUGGAGUUUCAACUCUUCAUCAGGUUUAAUGACAAGAGAGACACAGUGUUAGAUGUGGCGAAUUCAUCAGAAGAGUUUGAUCAAAUCACCGUCAAAGAAGUGAAGGAGAAAUUCAAACGUGUGGAUCCUGAAACACCUGCCAUAGAUCGCAUAAGGGUGAUUUUUGGAACUGAACAACUGGAUGAUAAGAAAACGCUUAAGUGUUAUAAUAUCACACAUGGAUCUGUUCUUAUCUUUGUGAUAAGAACGGAUGGUGGAAAAAAAGAAGGUGAAACUAGUGGUGAAGGAGCAGAAGGUGGAGGACUUCGCAGGACUGAAUCCAUGGAAAGACUUCACGUAAAAAUGUAGUUAUAUGUUAGACUCUCUUGGCAUUCAGAAUUUAAUAUUUCACAUAUUGCAAAAAACACUGAUUUUUCCUAGAGGUUUGGUCAACUUGUCUCAGAAUGUCUCAGACAAUUUUCAAAGAGAGAUUUGGCUUGCAAAAUGAGUGAUGAAAAACAGCAAUAUAGGAGCCCUUAUGUUGUAUUUUUGCACCAAAGUAGACUUUUUCCUACAUUCAAACAUGUUCAUAUGUUGUAUUUUUAAAACUGCAUAACAACAACAUCAGUGCAUCGCCCAAAUAAUUAAAGUGUUACAUUAAAUAAAUAAAUAAAAAUGUU
This is a long non-coding RNA of Ctenopharyngodon idella (grass carp), 860 nucleotides long. RefSeq lists it as uncharacterized. The transcript is spliced from 3 exons. The record is from RefSeq and is a predicted model, not a curated record. NCBI's taxonomy places the organism in Eukaryota, Metazoa, Chordata, Actinopteri, Cypriniformes, Xenocyprididae.